RNAcentral lists this ribosomal RNA (253 nucleotides) under uncultured bacterium. Its description in RNAcentral is "partial 16S ribosomal RNA". It matches the Rfam family "Bacterial small subunit ribosomal RNA", at positions 524 to 776 of the family's 1533-position model. The record is from RNAcentral.
UACGUAGGGGGCCAGCGUUGUCCGGAAUCAUUGGGCGUAAAGAGCGCGUAGGCGGUCCGGUAAGUCCGCUCUGAAAGUCCGGGGCUCAACCCCGGGAGGCGGGCGGAUACUGUCGGGCUAGAGUCCGGAAGAGGCGAGUGGAAUUCCUGGUGUAGCGGUGAAAUGCGCAGAUAUCAGGAGGAACACCAAUGGCGAAGGCAGCUCGCUGGGACGGUACUGACGCUGAGGCGCGAAAGCGUGGGGAGCAAACAGG